GGAGAGGUGUAGGGAAUGGUUAUCCGGACGGUCUUGAAAACCGUUGCCCGCAAGGGCUUGGGGGUUCGAAUCCCCCCCUCUCCGCCA
This 87-nucleotide transfer RNA is filed under the name Candidatus Pacebacteria bacterium CG_4_10_14_0_8_um_filter_43_12. RNAcentral's name for it is "tRNA-Ser". It matches the Rfam family "Selenocysteine transfer RNA". Lineage: Bacteria; Bacillati; Minisyncoccota. The record is from RNAcentral.